CCUGAGAUCAAAAUACAUGAGGAUAGCAUGACAAACCCUCCCAAAAAAAAUCUGAAUCUUCAUCUCAGAUUUGGAGAAAAUUCCAAGGCUAUAGGCUUACUGUUUUUCUCAGCAAAAAAGUGAAGUAUCCCCUACAAUGAUUCCGGGACGCUUCUCCCAUGUAAAAAAGCGUUUCGAACAAGAAGCCGUCAAUCAAAUUGUGCUGGCAUUCGGAUUCCUGAGAUCAAAAUACAUCGGAAUAACAUAGAAAUUCUCAUGAAGAAAGUUCUCAACAGAUACUCCGAAAAGAUGCGCCUAGACCUGGUGCCUCAUCAUAUGCAUGCCUUCAUGUCUGUUUAAUCAAUCAUACUUCUACAGGGUAUGAUGAAGACAUAAGCUAGUUGCAUGCUGAGCUGAUCCUAUGCAAUCAUAUGUGUUUAAUUUCACUGUUAUCAAUAAAUUUGUUGCCGUCACCACAA
Long non-coding RNA from Athalia rosae (coleseed sawfly), 458 nucleotides. RefSeq lists it as uncharacterized. Lineage: Eukaryota; Metazoa; Arthropoda; Insecta; Hymenoptera; Athaliidae. The transcript has 2 exons. The record is from RefSeq and is a predicted model, not a curated record.